Molecule: ribosomal RNA, 192 nt
Filed under: uncultured bacterium
Lineage: Bacteria
Description: partial 16S ribosomal RNA
Rfam family: Bacterial small subunit ribosomal RNA
Source: RNAcentral
CCUACGGGAGGCAGCAGUCGGGAAUUUUGGGCAAUGGGGGAAACCCUGACCCAGCAACGCCGCGUGAGGGAUGAAGGCCCUCGGGUCGUAAACCUCUGUCAGGAGGGAAGAACGGCGGUCGUUCGAAUAGGGUGGCCGUUUGACGGUACCUCCAAAGGAAGCACCGGCUAACUCCGUGCCAGCAGCCGCGGU